GGGUGGUUGCACUCAACUUCAAAUGUUGCCCAAGCUUCCUUUAAAUAUUGCAUAUAUUGAUGCAAGAGGGUGUACCUCGCUGGAAACAUUAUCAUUAAGUCUAGAAUAUGAUUUUCGGCCGAAUAUAUAUCUUCACAAUUGCGUCAAAUUGCUUAAUAAUCAAGGCUACGGUGAAUUGUUGUCAACAAUUCUAAGACAUUAUAUCAGUGAGGGACGCUAUCAGGAGAAUCGUUAUACAUAUUUCACAAUUCCUGGAAGUGAAAUUCCGAAAUGGUACAGGCACCAAAAUGUGGGGGCUUCAGUGAAUCUACAAGUGCCAUCACAUUUAUUAUUAAGUAACAAAUUUAAGGGAAUCGCUGUGUGCGCUGUUUAUAUAUUCUGCCAACAUCAUCCAUUUCACCAACUUCAUACUGAAAAUUAUAGAUAUAUGAUAAGUACGCAUAAGGUUUGUUGUUUCGUUAAAGCUAACGGACAUCAAUCUACCAGAGUGAUCCUUCCUUUAUCGGAGGAAUUUGGUGAGAUUGAAUCGUAUCAGCUUUGGCUUGAAUAUAUUCACUCUAGACACUUGGGAAGCGACUGGGAAGAAAAUUUGAAUCGAGUGGAUGCUAAUGGAUUCACCCAAAUUGAGGUUACAUUUGAAUCGAAAGGUCCAGGCUUGGAGGUCACGAAAUGCGGAGCCCAUGUGGUAUACGAGCAAGACAUAGAAGAUCUCAAACAGACUAUGGCUGGGGCUGGGUCUAGCAGUUGCAUCAUCACUCCUUAUUAUGAGAAUGAGUCUGAUGAUGAACCAGAACCACCACACCCAAAGUGGAUAGAGCACCCUAAUCUAAUUGAAAAUUGGAUUGGGAAUGUAUGCACAUAAGGUAACUCUGAUUGUGUGGAAACUUUUUUUCUUUUUCUUUGAUGUUUUUGUAAGUCACCUCUUUCUCUUUCUUAUGGGACUAGUUUGCAAUUGAUUGUGUCUACUGUUCAUCAUUUUUGUUCAAUUAAUUGGACCCUUUUUACUAGAGAGGUCUUCUUCUCUUUUCACCUGGGCAUUUUUUUUUCUUCUUCAUCACAUUAACCCUUUCGGAAUCUGAAAAUGGAGUCAAUGAUUUUUUUCAGUUGUAUUCUGGAACAUUUAAAUUUUGGAACAUUUAAAUUUAAAUUCUGGGUUUCCAUUGAAACAUUUAAAUUUUGUUUUCUUAUCCUAUAUUUUUCAUAGAAACUGGAUGAGUGAAGAAAUGCUGUGUUUUAUGCUUUCUCAUGGUUUUGUUUUCAGAGCACAUAAGCAUGGCUCAAGCAUGCCAGUUAUGUUUGGCUUUGCUAGAAUUUCUUUCCUUACCAUAAAAGCAGGGGAACUAAAAGUAGGUUAUGUAUGUUUUCUGAACGCACCAGUUGGAGUUAUGCCCCAGAAGAACUUGUGUCUUUCUUGCUGCUAUGGUGGCUCUGGUUCAACAGGUAAAAGCUACCAGUUAUCAUGUUGUUUUGUAAUUUGAUGUUCAAUUUUGGUUAUAUUUAAGUUUGAGAUAAUUUUAUAGUUUAUAUGGCUGGUACAUUGCACAAUUAUGAAGUGGUAUGUUCCUUGGCUUGGCUAAGGUGGAAGGUGUGCAGGCUGUGAGAGAGGGGUUGGACUUUUGGUUUUUAGUGCUUAUGUAUUCAAUUUCUCAUUGUGAUUCUAAAUUUUAAGAAGGGGCUUUCUGAUUCUACGUGCUUCAAGUUCACUUUGGAAGGGAGUUUGGCACUUAAUAAAUAGAAUCAUAAUCAUAAUACAAACGCUAGACUACUAGAAGAUACAUAAGCCUCAAUUUCUAGCAAAGAAGAUUCAAUUGCUAGAAAUUGGCCAACCUUGAUAGUGCAGAAGCAUGGGCUACUCUUCUAACAGCAUGUUGAUAUGUAGUUUUAGCAAACAAUAAGCCAUUGUGUGGCCUCUUUAUCUGAUAAAUGGUGUCUCAUUCGUCUGUUGAUGAUUGGCAAUAGCAAAAGAAAGAUAAAAAAACUAUAAUUAUGAGCAAGACCUAGUAGAACUAGUAGCUCUAAUGAGGAAUUUCACCUUGAGAGUCUAAGAAAACCCCUUGAUCCCAUUUUUAAAGAUGAGGGAAAACAAGCUCUAGAAUAACCUUUCCAGUACUUGCACAGUUUCCUUCAUUACUUCUGUGCUCCUCCUUCUGUCAUAGAUUUAUAUAAAAGAUAUCAUUUAUUUCUUCUUUUCUUUGUGAUUUGGUGAGAUCUGAAUUUUCCAUGGAUACAUUUAACUCACAUUAGCAUUCCCUCAUUUUUCGUAAAAAAAUAAUUUUUAUGCAAUUUGUGUUUGCUCUGUUCAAUUUUCCUGUCAAUUAAAUUUUCUGAAGUUGAGUCCUGUCCUACAUGAUAUCUUUCUUAUUUUAUUAUUUUAUUUUAGAUCCAUGAACUUCUUUUAAGGACAUCACAAUUUGAUUUUAUAUCAUGUGGGAAUUACUUUGUGCAUUAUUUUUGUAUGCUGCCUGCAUUAUCCACUUGACCAACUUCCUAGUACUGAAGAUUUGGGAUAUAUGAGAUAUACGCAUGGGCUUCAAUGUUUCAUUAAAGCCAGCAGAUAUGAAUCUGGUGAAGUGGAUCUUCUUUAUCCAAGGAACUUGGUAAGAUUGAAUUGUAUCAUAUUUGGCUGGAAUAUUAUCCCUCAACAUUCUUCGGAGAGGACUGGUUUGAAAAAUUGAAUUGAGUCAAAGCUAAUGAAUUCAGUCAGAUUGAGGCUACAUUACAAACCUUCGGUCCAGGCUUGGAGGUUACAAAAUGCGGUGCCCAUUUGGUAUUCGAGCAAGUCAUUGAAGAUCUCAAACAAACUAAGGCUGGGUGUAGCAGCUAUGUAAUCAUUCCUAAUGAGGAUGAUUUUGAUGAUUCAGGAAAAGACACCAACAUUAAGCAAAGGCAUGAUCACUAAGAUGGGGAUGGGGCUGGACUAGUGCAGAAGGUACCUUUAAUGAUGUACAACCACACCCAAAGUGGAUAGAGCACCAUAUAUAAUUGAAAAUUGGUUUGGGAAUUUUUGCACACAACGACAAGGUGACUCUUAUUGUGAAGAAGAGGAAUCCUAUUGAAAGUGGAAACUUUGAUGAAUCUACACAGCUGUGUCUCCACUCUCCAAAGAGGGCUGAUGGCAUAAAAGUUAUUGCUGUCACUGCAGGGAGAGUCAUUGGAUCCAUAAGAGGUCUCAAUUGUAAGUGACUGGUCAGGAUAGAUGGUGGAGAAGCACAGACUCCGUCUUGUAUACAAAGAAGAUGCACAACAGAUUUGGCAAAUUCAAUCCACUUGCAGUCACAUUGAGGUUUCAGCUGUAAGCAACUUCCCACGUUUGAUGGUGCAGAAGUGUGGGCAAGGUUUAUUAGACCCUCAAGAGGAGGAAGAGUUUGGGUAAACAAUCAUUAAAUUCUCUAAAGAGACUUAUCACAAUGUGGAUCUCAUUCAUCAAUCAGUAGCAAGUGAUAUUCCAAAUGAUAAUCAAGAGUGAAUCUUGUUGCUCGUAUGAGGACCUAUAUUCUGGAAGGUUAAGAGGACCCAUUUAUCCAAAGCAGAUCAGUGGAAAUAGCAUUUAUAUUGAUUUUUGAGGACCAACACCCUGAUAUUCAACUCAACCAAAAUGAUUUACUCGUAAUAAAUGUGUGUAUUUCCUUUGAAAGUACCAUCUCUCUCUCUCUCUCUCUCUCU
Molecule: RNA transcript, 3663 nt
Organism: Quercus lobata
Lineage: Eukaryota; Viridiplantae; Streptophyta; Magnoliopsida; Fagales; Fagaceae
Gene name: disease resistance protein RPS4B-like
Exons: 4
Source: RefSeq, a predicted model, not a curated record